RNAcentral lists this ribosomal RNA (300 nucleotides) under uncultured Moritella sp. RNAcentral describes it as "bacterial SSU rRNA". It matches the Rfam family "Bacterial small subunit ribosomal RNA", at positions 115 to 416 of the family's 1533-position model. Lineage: Bacteria; Pseudomonadati; Pseudomonadota; Gammaproteobacteria; Alteromonadales; Moritellaceae. The record is from RNAcentral.
GCUUGGGAAUCUGCCUAGUCGAGGGGGACAACAGUUGGAAACGACUGCUAAUACCGCAUACGACCUACGGGUGAAAGGGGGCCUCUUCUUGAAAGCUCUCGCGAUUAGAUGAGCCCAAGUGGGAUUAGCUUGUUGGUGAGGUAAAGGCUCACCAAGGCGACGAUCCCUAGCUGGUCUGAGAGGAUGAUCAGCCACACUGGAACUGAGACACGGUCCAGACUCCUACGGGAGGCAGCAGUGGGGAAUAUUGCACAAUGGGGGAAACCCUGAUGCAGCCAUACCGCGUGUAUGAAGAAGGCC